UUUAAUGGCGCUUUCCCACUCCACACCAAUGGGGCGGCGUACAUCAAAAAGGAGGUCAAAAAUCCGUCCGGCUCGCGGUGCGGCAGUGUGGAGACCUGUCGUAAAAGGAACACGUUCUAUAAAAAUCGAACGGUUUUGAGAUGAUUUUUGCGGAGGCUGGAUCAUCAGAGCUGAGAACAUGAGU
This 184-nucleotide non-coding RNA is filed under the name unclassified sequences. The record is from Rfam.